Molecule: long non-coding RNA, 678 nt
Organism: Balaenoptera ricei (Rice's whale)
Lineage: Eukaryota; Metazoa; Chordata; Mammalia; Artiodactyla; Balaenopteridae
Exons: 3
Source: RefSeq, a predicted model, not a curated record
ACCCGCCAGAGUUGGCGCGCGGGAGUGUGGGAGCCGCGGAAUGUUCCCGCCAGUCGCACCGGGGUCAAGUGCGGGCCGCUGUCGCCUGCCUACUCCGCGCGUCCAGCUCCGCGCCUUCCUCGGGACACUUGUCCUUGGACCCCCCUACCCCAGGCCAGCUGGAGGCUCCCCGGCCGCCUUCUCCAGAGACCCCCUCCCAGGGUGCCCCUGAUGAAUGACACAUUGAUCAACCCGUAUUCUUCAGACUCUGCCAUAUGAAGCCAAUGAAAGAUACCUGCUGGUGACCAAAUGAUGAUCACAUGAAAAGUCCAUCACCCCAGAAUCUCCUCUCCUGCCAUCUGGACUUACUGAAUGUCUACUCAUCCAUCGAGACCAAUUUAUUCAUCAACACCAACUCAUCCAAAAAGUUUAUGCAGAUUGCUACUUCCAUUCAGAAUCAACAGCCUCUUCGCUCCUUAUGUGGCACUUUAAUUUAUGUAUAUUUCAAUGUAUUAUUAUAUAUUUAAAAAUAAUAUAAUGAACAAUCAUGUACUCUCCCAGAAGCUUAAGAAAUAAAUCAUUUCCAAAAAACUUGAACCCUCCUAUGUAUCUACUUUCGUACUGAGUCCUCCUCACUCUCUACUCCUCAGCCUCCCCACCCUUCCCCACCCUCCCCAUAGAGGAUCAUUAUCUUGAAUU